RNAcentral lists this ribosomal RNA (253 nucleotides) under uncultured bacterium. Its description in RNAcentral is "partial 16S ribosomal RNA". It matches the Rfam family "Bacterial small subunit ribosomal RNA", at positions 524 to 776 of the family's 1533-position model. The record is from RNAcentral.
UACAGAGGUCCCAAGCGUUGUUCGGAUUUACUGGGCGUAAAGGGCGCGUAGGCGGGAUGGCAAGUCAGUCGUGAAAUCUCUCGGCUCAACCGAGAAACGUCGGCUGAUACUGCCGUUCUUGAGGGAUGCAGAGGAGACUGGAAUUCCCGGUGUAGCGGUGAAAUGUGUAGAGAUCGGGAGGAACACCGGUGGCGAAGGCGGGUCUCUGGGCAUUUCCUGACGCUGAGGCGCGAAAGCGUGGGGAGCAAACGGG